Long non-coding RNA from Thunnus maccoyii (southern bluefin tuna), 574 nucleotides. RefSeq lists it as uncharacterized. The record is from RefSeq and is a predicted model, not a curated record. The transcript has 3 exons. Lineage: Eukaryota; Metazoa; Chordata; Actinopteri; Scombriformes; Scombridae.
ACUCCUCUGUGUUCUUUGAAGCCCUUGAACUUAAAAACGGAGCGGAUUGAAGACGCACAAGAGACUGAAGUGAUACUGCUGAAACUUGCGACAUCUCGUCUUCUCUGGUGCCACCAUACGCUGGCAAAAACAACAACAACACCAUUGCACAUUGGGCGUGCAGGGAGUUCCGGUGCGACCACUGUGGGUUAGCCAGGCACUGGAGUGGAGCUCCCAUGUGGCUUUUCUCAGUGGUGACUGAACCAUAAGAACAGAGGGACAGAGGGCUGCACACCACAGGGACUCUGGGAUAGCUCAACCUUCUCUGGGAGGACCGAUGCCUUGGCGUUGCAUAGAGAGCGGCUGAUGUUUUAAUCAUGGCCCCGGGGCUCAUUGUGAUGUGCAGCCACCUCUGGGGUCUCUAAUUGUCUCAGGCCAGGCUGGCUCUGCUGAUCACCCUGCGUCUGGAAUGGCUAAUGACUCACAGUGAGAUAAAGAGACAGAGAUGCUUCACAUAUAGAGCUCUAUCUGUUUUGUGUGUGUGUGUGUGUGUGCAUGCUGAGGUGAGCGGCAGAGGUGUGUGUCUGUCUUUUUG